AGUGAACGCUGGCGGUAGGCCUAACACAUGCAAGUCGAACGGCAGCACAGUAAGAGCUUGCUCUUACGGGUGGCGAGUGGCGGACGGGUGAGGAAUACAUCGGAAUCUACUUUUUCGUGGGGGAUAACGUAGGGAAACUUACGCUAAUACCGCAUACGACCUACGGGUGAAAGCAGGGGAUCUUCGGACCUUGCGCGAUUGAAUGAGCCGAUGUCGGAUUAGCUAGUUGGCGGGGUAAAGGCCCACCAAGGCGACGAUCCGUAGCUGGUCUGAGAGGAUGAUCAGCCACACUGGAACUGAGGCACGGUCCAGACUCCUACGGGAGGCAGCAGUGGGGAAUAUUGGACAAUGGGCGCAAGCCUGAUCCAGCCAUACCGCGUGAGUGAAGAAGGCCUUCGGGUUGUAAAGCCCUUUUGUUGGGAAAGAAAAGCAGCAGGUUAAUACCCCGCUGUUCUGACGGUACCCAAAGAAUAAGCACCGGCUAACUUCGUG
This 492-nucleotide ribosomal RNA is filed under the name uncultured bacterium. RNAcentral's name for it is "partial 16S ribosomal RNA". It matches the Rfam family "Bacterial small subunit ribosomal RNA", at positions 29 to 507 of the family's 1533-position model. The record is from RNAcentral.